UAUAUAGUCCCUCCGUCCGAAAAUACUUGUUGAAGGAAUGGAUGUAUCUAGACGUAUUUUAGUUUUAGAUAUAUCUAUUUUUAUGCAUUUUUCUGACAAGUAUUUCCGGACGGAGGGAGUAUGUG
Molecule: non-coding RNA, 125 nt
Organism: Triticum aestivum (bread wheat)
Lineage: Eukaryota; Viridiplantae; Streptophyta; Magnoliopsida; Poales; Poaceae
Source: Rfam